RNAcentral lists this ribosomal RNA (255 nucleotides) under uncultured bacterium. Its description in RNAcentral is "partial 16S ribosomal RNA". It matches the Rfam family "Bacterial small subunit ribosomal RNA", at positions 134 to 389 of the family's 1533-position model. The record is from RNAcentral.
GAGUGGGGGAUAACGGCCGGAAACGGACGCUAAUACGGCAUACGUCCUACGGGAGAAAGCGGGGGACCUUCGGGCCUUGCGCUAUCAGAUGAGCCUAGGUCGGAUUAGCGAGUUGGUGGGGUAAUGGCUCACCAAGGCGAGCGAUCCGUAACUGGUCUGAGAGGGAUGAUCAGUCACACUGGAAGUGAGACACGGUCCACCCUCCUACGGGAGGCAGCAGUGGGGAAUAUUGGACAAUGGGCGAAAGCGUGAUCC